CUAACAAGGAUUCCCCUAGUAACGGCGAGUGGAGCGGGAAGAGCACAAAUUUAAGAUCUACCUGGUUUCCAGGUCGAGUUGUAAUUUGAAGAAACGUUUUUGAUAUUCCGGGUUGGGAUAAAUCCUUUGGGAUGAGGUAUCAUGGAGGGUGAGAAUCCCGUGUAUACCAACCGCAGGGAUGUUAUUUAAUUACGUUUCUAAGAGUCGAGUUGUUUGGGAAUGCAGCUCUAAAUGGGUGGUAAAUUUCACCUAAUGCUAAAUAUAAGCGAGAGACCGAUAGCGAACAAGUACCGUGAGGGAAAGAUGAAAAGAACUUUGAAAAGAGAGUUAAAUAGUACGUGAAAUUGUUGAAAGGGAAACGAUUGAAGUCAGUCAUGCCGACGGGAAUCAACUUAGGGGAAACUCUGAGUGCACUUCACGUUUGGCAGGUCAGCGUCGAUUUUGGAUGUCAUAAAAUGAUUGGGGGAAGGUAGCUCCUUCGGGAGUGUUAUAGCCCUUGGUAGAUGUGAUGUCCGGGAUCGAGGAUUGCAAUGGAUACCCUUUGGGCUAGCCGCCUGAUCUCUAAUUGGUGUUGGGUUACGGACAGCAUGCUGACCGUGAUCUAAUUAUUGGUUAAAAGGUUAGAGCGAGUGUAAAUUCGUUAAGGACGC
Molecule: ribosomal RNA, 650 nt
Filed under: Dentiscutata erythropus
Lineage: Eukaryota; Fungi; Glomeromycota; Glomeromycetes; Diversisporales; Gigasporaceae
Description: partial 25S ribosomal RNA
Rfam family: Eukaryotic large subunit ribosomal RNA
Source: RNAcentral